This 644-nucleotide ribosomal RNA is filed under the name Macrolepiota albuminosa. RNAcentral's name for it is "eukaryotic LSU rRNA". It matches the Rfam family "Eukaryotic large subunit ribosomal RNA", at positions 1 to 668 of the family's 3401-position model. Lineage: Eukaryota; Fungi; Basidiomycota; Agaricomycetes; Agaricales; Agaricaceae. The record is from RNAcentral.
UGACCUCGAAUCAGGUAGGAAUACCCGCUGAACUUAAGCAUAUCAAUAAGCGGAGGAAAAGAAACCAACAGGGAUUGCCCCAGUAACGGCGAGUGAAGCGGCAACAGCUCAAAUUUGAAAUCUGGCCCCUAGGGCCCGAGUUGUAAUUUGCAGAGGAUGCUUUUGGCGAGGUGCCUUCCGAGUUCCCUGGAACGGGACGCCAUAGAGGGUGAGAGCCCCGUCUGGUUGGAUACCGAGCCUCUGUAAAGCUCCUUCGACGAGUCGAGUAGUUUGGGAAUGCUGCUCUAAAUGGGAGGUAUAUGUCUUCUAAAGCUAAAUACCGGCCAGAGACCGAUAGCGCACAAGUAGAGUGAUCGAAAGAUGAAAAGCACUUUGAAAAGAGGGUUAAACAGUACGUGAAAUUGUUGAAAGGGAAGCGUUUAUGACCAGACUUGGACCCGGUGAAUCAUCCAGCGUUCUCGCUGGUGCACUUUGCCGGGCUCAGGCCAGCAUUAGUUUGUCCCGGGGGAUAAAGGCUUAGGGAAUGUGGCUCCUCCGGGAGUGUUAUAGCCCUCUGCAUAAUACCCUGGGGCGGACUGAGGUUCGCGCAUCUGCAAGGAUGCUGGCGUAAUGGUCAUCAACGACCCGUCUUGAAACACGGACCA